RNAcentral lists this ribosomal RNA (752 nucleotides) under uncultured Actinomyces sp. RNAcentral's name for it is "bacterial SSU rRNA". It matches the Rfam family "Bacterial small subunit ribosomal RNA", at positions 28 to 779 of the family's 1533-position model. The record is from RNAcentral. Lineage: Bacteria; Bacillati; Actinomycetota; Actinomycetes; Actinomycetales; Actinomycetaceae.
GACGAACGCUGGCGGCGUGCUUAACACAUGCAAGUCGAACGCUGAAGCCUGGCUUUUGUUGGGUGGAUGAGUGGCGAACGGGUGAGUAACACGUGAGUAACCUGCCCUCUUCUUUGGGAUAACGCCCGGAAACGGGUGCUAAUACUGGAUAUUCACUUGCCUUCGCAUGGGGGUGGGUGGAAAGGGUUUUUUCUGGUGGGGGAUGGGCUCGCGGCCUAUCAGCUUGUUGGUGGGGUGAUGGCUUACCAAGGCUUUGACGGGUAGCCGGCCUGAGAGGGUGACCGGUCACAUUGGGACUGAGAUACGGCCCAGACUCCUACGGGAGGCAGCAGUGGGGAAUAUUGCACAAUGGGCGCAAGCCUGAUGCAGCGACGCCGCGUGAGGGAUGGAGGCCUUCGGGUUGUGAACCUCUUUCGCUCAUGGUCAAGCCGCAACUCGUGGUUGUGGUGAGGGUAGUGGGUAAAGAAGCGCCGGCUAACUACGUGCCAGCAGCCGCGGUAAUACGUAGGGGCGCGAGCGUUGUCCGGAAUUAUUGGGCGUAAAGGGCUUGUAGACGGUUGGUCUCAUCUGCCCGAAAUCCUCUGGCUUAACUGGGGGCGUGCGGUGUGUUCGGGCUGACUUGAGUGCGGUAUGGGAGACUAAAAACUCCUGGGUUUCCGUUGUAUGUCAUAUAUCGCGAAGAACACCCCUGACGAAGGCGGUUUUGGGCUUUAUUGGCGUUUAGUAGCGAAGAGUGGGGAGCCAGCAGGUUA